UACGAAGGGGGCUAGCGUUGUUCGGAAUUACUGGGCGUAAAGCGUGCGCAGGCGGCUUCUCAAGUCAGGGGUGAAAGCCCAGAGCUCAACUCCAGAACUGCCUUCGAUACUGGCGAUCUCGAGUUCGGGAGAGGUGAGUGGAACUGCGAGUGUAGAGGUGAAAUUCGUAGAUAUUCGCAAGAACACCAGUGGCGAAGGCGGCUCACUGGCCCGAUACUGACGCUGAGGUGCGAAAGCGUGGGGAGCAAACAGG
This 253-nucleotide ribosomal RNA is filed under the name uncultured bacterium. Its description in RNAcentral is "partial 16S ribosomal RNA". It matches the Rfam family "Bacterial small subunit ribosomal RNA", at positions 524 to 776 of the family's 1533-position model. The record is from RNAcentral.